AGGACGUAGAAGGAACGGCACACUUGGCAGAGCCACAUUCCUCCUCAUUUUCAUGGGGACGCUUUCUUGUCGUGGUUGGCUGGAAGAAAAACACAGAGGAUGGCUCCAGGAAAGCAGUGUCACCUGAUUUGAUUUUGGCUACAUAUGAAUUGAUGGACCAGACACUGAAGUUGCCAAGUCUCAAGCCAUGAAUGUCAAAGACUGCCCAGUGAAGGUACAUCUACACAAUAUCUUACCAUACAAAAAGAAUAACUCCUAAACUCCAGCAGUCCACAGCUCGGCUGUAUCCAGCAGUCCC
Prinia subflava (tawny-flanked prinia) is the source of this 298-nucleotide long non-coding RNA. RefSeq lists it as uncharacterized. The record is from RefSeq and is a predicted model, not a curated record. NCBI's taxonomy places the organism in Eukaryota, Metazoa, Chordata, Aves, Passeriformes, Cisticolidae. The transcript is spliced from 3 exons.